This is a non-coding RNA of Drosophila melanogaster (fruit fly), 1361 nucleotides long. NCBI's taxonomy places the organism in Eukaryota, Metazoa, Arthropoda, Insecta, Diptera, Drosophilidae. The record is from Ensembl.
CGCAAUCUGCACUACCUAGCCAGAUGGAUAAAGUAAAUGCAUAGAUGUGUGCAUAGCGAGUCUAGUCAAUUAAUGCCAUUGUAUCUUGUAUCUUUGUAUCUACGAUAGCUAUCUAGAAACCAAGCAAACAAGCAAACAAACAAACAAGCAUUUGUACUUAUUUUAUAAAUCGAGUGAAACUAUACGAGUCCGCUAUAUACGGAGCACACACUAUUAUUAUAUGGAUAAAUAUGUGAUAAAACGUUUGCAAUGCCACAAACUCACAGAUCUGGGAAGUGGGCGUUACAGGUGGCCUAUACUGGUGCAUGCAGCCAUGGUCAUCCGUUCCGCCCACUUUGCCCGCACUGCAGGCUGUACAUAUCAACAGGUUACAGGUGGACAACUCUUAUCAAUUACUAACUCGCUUAUCUGAAGUGUGAACCGGUGCAAUGUACAUUUUAUAUAGCGCUGCCCAGACUAACCCAACUAUAUCUAUAAGUCAGCCUCCGAAACGCAAUUCGAUCUAACAGAAAAUUAAAUGUAAAUUGAGUCGAUUUGUCCAAACAGUUUGCCGCAAAUCAAAUAAAACAAAACAAGCGAUUUGUUACGGCAAAUGGGAAAUGUUUCCAAGCAAAUUGUUUUCUAGGUGUAUGAGUACAUGGUAUUUGUGUUGGCCUGCCCAUGUAUGUGUGUGUGUGUGUACGCGUGUGUGUGUGAUUGCGUAUCCUUUUUUGAGGCCCAGGAGAAUUGUUAUUCCAAUUAGACGUGUUAACGACCGAGAAAAAUCACACAAAACACGUGCAGUAUAGUUCAACACUUAGAUAUAUAUAUACAUAUACAUUUAUAUAAAGUAAAGAAUAGAUAUCCAACAUUUUUUUGUCUCCCAUAAUAUGAGAAACAUUUCCUUGUCAACCCCCAGCUGCUAUAAGAAUCCAAAUUCAAUACCAAAUUUAUAAUACAACUAGUGAAAAGUAUCCCUAGAAACUAUCGAUUGUUAAUACUGCGAUAAUGUCUUCGAUUAACUGUAAAAUAGCAUAAUUGUGUGACCUAUAAACAUAUAAGUAAGUUCCCAUUCCCACUCCAUUUCCCUUCAUCAUUAUCAUACAUAUGUCUAGCCUAAAGGAGGCGCGUGAGAAAGCCAUCGAGCCAUCAUAGCAAACAUUACACAAUUAUACCCUAUGAAUAAUGUUAACUGUAGGCUAAAUAUGAGAUAUACAGGUGCAUAACGGUAACGGUAACGAUAUCGAUAACGAUAAUGGGAUACCAAGCUACAAAGAAAACUUCAAAGAGCGAACUAAACCCCAUGAAAAAUUGAUAAUCUAUUAUAAUAAUAAUAAUAAUAAUAAUAAUAAUCAAACCUACUAUCGACGGAGAAGCCAAAU